ACUGCACUUCCUGCGAGGCCCCUGCAGCAGCAGCGGCGUGGUCAGAGCGAGCUUCGGAGAAGCAGUGGUGGGUUCCAUGUGAUGGUGGAGUAGGAGGCAGGUCUCCGCGGUUUCUUCAUGUGGCUGCAGAUGGCAGGAUUUCCCAAAGGUUUCUGGCUGAAACAUAUUCCGUGGUGUAUCUGUACAGCAGUUUCCUCAUCCCUGCAGCUGUGUUUGAACAGGUCAUUUACCAUGCUGUCCUCCAGGUUCAACAGUAUGGCUCCAAAGGAUGAAAUUUCAUUCUGAUUUUCUGGCUGAAGACUAUUCUCUUUGUGUAUGUCCACCACAGUUACUUUAUCCCUUCAUCUGUGGAUGGGCAGUCUCGCUGUAUUGCCCAGGCUGGAGUGCAGUGGCAUGAUCUCAGCUCACUGCAAGCUCUGCUUCCUGGGUUCACGCCAUUCUCCUGCCUCAGCCUCCUGAGUAGCUGGGAUUACAGGCACCCGCCACCACGCCCAGGAAAGAAAAAAGAAGAAAACAAACCUCCAUACGAGAAUGGGUCUAAAGGAACUUCCCAAACCUCCAUGAUUUUGCAGGAA
Homo sapiens (human) is the source of this 575-nucleotide long non-coding RNA. Ensembl annotates it as double homeobox A pseudogene 10. Its record names the gene DUXAP10. The record is from Ensembl. NCBI's taxonomy places the organism in Eukaryota, Metazoa, Chordata, Mammalia, Primates, Hominidae.